Molecule: ribosomal RNA, 465 nt
Filed under: uncultured bacterium
Lineage: Bacteria
Description: partial 16S ribosomal RNA
Rfam family: Bacterial small subunit ribosomal RNA
Source: RNAcentral
CUACGGGUGGCACCAGUGGGGAAUAUUGGACAAUGGGGGAAACCCUGAUCCAGCAAUGCCGCGUGUGUGAAGAAGGCCUGCGGGUUGUAAAGCACUUUCGGUUGGGAGGACUGCUUCUAGCACUAAUAUUGUUGGAAGUUGACGUUACCUUCAGAAGAAGCACCGGCUACCUCCGUGCCAGCAGCCGCGGUAAUACGGAGGGUGCAAGCGUUAAUCGGAAUUACUGGGCGUAAAGCGCGCGUAGGCGGCUAGAUCAGUCGGGUGUGAAAGCCCCGGGCUUAACCUGGGAACUGCAUCCGAUACUGUCUAGCUUGAGUACAGGAGAGGAGAGUGGAAUUCCACAUGUAGCGGUGAAAUGCGUAGAUAUGUGGAGGAACACCAAUGGCGAAGGCAGCUCUCUGGCCUGAUACUGACGCUGAAGUGCGAAAGCGUGGGGAGCAAACAGGAUUAGAUACCCCGGUAGUC